GACGAACGCUGGCGGCGUGCUUAACACAUGCAAGUCGAACGGUGAAGCGCCUUCCUUUUUGGUGGGUGUGGAUGAGUGGCGAACGGGUGAGUAACACGUGAGUAACCUGCCCCCUUCUUCUGGACAACCGCAUGAAAGUGUGGCUAAUACUGGAUAUUCUGGGUCUGUCGCCUGAUGGGUCUGGGUCAGUUCUUGUUUCGGUGGGGGAUGGGCUCGCGGCCUUUCAGCUUGUUGGUGCGGUCAUGGCCUACCAAGGCGGUGACGUGUAGCCGGCCUAUGAUGGUGGACGGUCACAGUGGGACUGGGACACCGCCCAUACACAUACGGGAGAGAGCAGUGGGGAGUAUGGCACAAUAGGCGCAAGCCUGUUGCAGCGACGCCGCGUGAGGGAGGGGGGCCUUCGGGUUGUGUACCUCUUUCGCCAGAGAAGCAGGCCGGCCGCAUAUAUGGGUGGGUUGACGGUAGCUGGAAAAGAAGCGCCGGCUAACUACGUG
RNAcentral lists this ribosomal RNA (494 nucleotides) under uncultured bacterium. Its description in RNAcentral is "partial 16S ribosomal RNA". It matches the Rfam family "Bacterial small subunit ribosomal RNA", at positions 28 to 507 of the family's 1533-position model. The record is from RNAcentral.